UUAAGCUCUUGGCCUUCUCUCUCUGUUUUCCACGUAGAGUUGUGAGGUUUCUUCUUCUACUUACUGAGUUUUUCUUUGGUUUCUCCGACACUGCCGCCAUCACAAUUACCACCAGAAGCUAUACCUUCAUCUACUUCUCCUUCUCGAGGAGCAACAAUGAUUCGAAGUUAACCACACAUCUUCUGAUAUUUUAGUUGAUUUCAGUUGGUCAUGAAGGGAUUUGCUAGGUACAAAUUAGGGGAGGAAAACAUUUCUAGCUAGAUGUCUCAGCAGCUUGGUUUUUCGAGGCAAAUCAGGCUCCAAAGGAAGCUUCUCAAUAAGGAUGUUGAGAAGUCAUUUAGAAGGCAACUCAGGAAAUGUGAUAGCCAUUUGUAUACGUUUCCGGUUAGUAGAUUUUUUGGUCUCUUUAAACAAUACAUAAAGGGUUAUUAUGGGACUAUGUCGCCAAUUUAGGUAUUGGUAGACAAAUUCGUCCUGACCGAUAUAGCGGUACAAGACGGCAAGUAAGAGAGGACAUGGAUGACACUGAAAAUAUAGUACUGCUCAUUGGAGAUGAUAAUUUAUCACCGAAAGGAUAGUUUACACAUGGAGAAAGACACAGCAACAUAGUGCGGAACAUUCCCAAAAUUGCAUUUGAGUGCAGUUUACAUAGUUUGACUGGAUAAUCUGAAUUAUUAAUAUAAUAAAACAAAAGGGAAAAAACGUUUUCAACUUGGAUGUCACUACAUGAAACUGGAUAGUAUUGUCCAAUUGGCUACCUGUAGGAGUUGUUUAAGAGAAUAUUUUCUCAACAGGAUAUGUACGUAUGGUGACCUACAGUAUUUUAACUGGAUGAUCUGGAUUAUUAGUAUAAUAAAACAAGAGUGACUCCCUACUACAGUAAGUAGAAAGUAUAUUCUAAAUGUGACCUCAGCUGGAGAAUGAGAAUGGUGUAUUCGUCAUAUAUUACUUGCAAAAAAAUCUUAUCAGAUGAACAAAAUAACUUCGUGGAAAUGCUCAUUCUCCUGAAGUAUGGGUAACAAAGAGAAGAUUGUACAUCUUCGUCGUCUUUUAAGCAGACAAACAAUGUUCGUAACUAUAUUACUGGAUGUGCUUUUCAUGGGUAGGUUUGAUGUGGUGGUAAAUGGUGAAUUCUCUCUAAGUCUUCACAAUAACAAACGAGAGAAUAGGUAGCAGGAUCCUGUGUGCGACAGAGAUAUGUUAAUUCUUGAAAAAGUGGGUACUUACUACCACUGUAUAGGGUUGCGUAUGAUGAUAUCCUGUUGUAACAGCACGACUGCCACAAAGCCAUGGCGUUGGACUUUGUGGCAGUAGAUAGAGCUACUUUUAAGAAGUUAUAUCUAGAGGCAAUCCAAAUAUAUUUGAACCAAUGAAAACUUGAUAAUUGUUGUUGUUGGGGCUUUCGAUGCAAUAGUAAGACAGGUAUGGUGUAUUCUCACAAACAUAGUCAGGUGUUAACCUUGGUUCCAUCUCUUAAUUGCUUAAUUUCCUCACUAAAUAACGCUAUUUUACGUUUUUAAUUUCUUGAUCUGUUCUAACAGUUUCGUUAUAUAUAAUUGGGUGGAAACCCUAAUUUUGUUUUCACCAUCAUCAAACUAUCAGCAUCAGGCUAUUGAAGCGAAAUAUGAAGAAUCCCUGGUGAUUUCACGGGUUUUCUUUCUGUGGUACAUAAACGAGAAUUCUCAACCAGAGGUUGUAUUGGAGCUGAGGUCGUAAUAAGCAUUUGAAAUAUAUCCUCUGGCCAAAUUUCAUGGUACGUUGCAGAUGUAUAUCUCUUAUUUGCUGCAUACAGUUCAGUUGACUUGCAAUUUUGAUUAUUCCAUCUUUAUUUUUAUGUAAUAUUAUGUCAGAGUAUUGUGUGUGACUUUGAUACCUUAUUCGAGUAAAUGACUCAGGUGGCAGAGCUCAGUGCGACACUAACAUGAGAUAUUUGAAUCUACCAACUCCAAUGAAGAUCUAUAAUUGUUAUAGUAUAAUGGGUAACACAAUUGAAGUAUUUACUAUUGGAAUUUCUGUUUUGGUUAAUAACAAUUUUUAAUUGAUUUUAAAAUCCACAGACAGAUGUUGUUUGGUUGCAUUUAGUCUCUAGCUAUUAUACUUUGCUUGCCCAGCUAUUUUUUGUUUGUAAAAGACGAAAACCGCAGUUCUACAAAGUAAUGGCCUUCAUUUGAGAUAUUCUGUUGUGCACCUAAUUUGGCAUCUUUUUUACAUGGCUUUUAUUGGUACAAUCUGAAAUUUUACACCUUUGAGGCAGAAAUUACAAUCUAAGUUGAACAUUCAUUCAAACUGGAGGUUCAAAUCACUGGGGUAACAUCUGAUUUUUUCUUCUUUGCUCUCUUGCCACCCAUGUAAGUAGAUCUCUUUACAUGAGUGGGAAAAACCAAUUCGAUUUUACUUCUUCAUUGGUUUUUCUGAAACUAAAGAUGUGAAUGUUAAAUGCUUUAGUAGUUUUAGUUCAAUUGAAUUGAUGGGUAAAUUUAUUUUUUCAGGGUAUAAAUAUGCCGAAAUGGAUAGUAUGCCUGCUGUUAUAUUCCUUUGAAUAAUGUGAUUGUUGUUGAUAUCAUAUGCAGUCUAGCAUAUCACAGUUUUAUCACUAUGUGAUAAGAUUGUCGGUACUAAAGCUACAUUAGUGGAGGGAGUCAUGACCCUUAGGUUUUGGUGGCUUCUCUACUUAACUAUGAACAUCUUGGGAAAGAGGUUUAUUAGCGUGUCGCUCUUAACUCAGUUUCAGCCUUUACUCUGAUUGUUUCUUAGUUAUAUACAGGUGUCAUACAUCUAACGUCCCUCUCUUACAUUUUUGUGUUAUAUACCCUUGCAUCUCAUUAUUUUUCAGGCGGAAUCCAAUAUAGUUGUGGAAUACUGAGUACUGAGCAUGAAGAUUCGUGAUUUUCUUAAAUUUAUUAUUAAUAAUAAUGCAAUCUUGAAACACUGUGGUAGUAGUUAUUCUUAUGUAAGAAGAGCUUUACCUUAUAUGACCUCGAGUAGCUGAUAAUUGCAGCUCAUAUCCUUGCACGUUUUGCAUUAUUGAUUUGGUUCCCCUUAAUUAGAAUACGUAAGAAACUAUAUGACUCUCAUCUGACAUUUGCCAUGCGAGAGGCCCAACAGUAGACCUCCAGGAUCAUAUGGUGGAAAAUCAAGUGUUGCUGAAAAGUCGCAGUGAUCCAGAAGCAUGUAUUUUAGUCCAGAUUGAGUUCGUGUUAGAAGCAGGGUCUCCGGAUUUCAAUGCAGUUUCUGCUACGUUGAAGAGCUCUAAUGUAGAAGUUUCUUUAUUCCACCUCCAACACAUAGAAAGAUCUAUCCGAAGUCUGUUACCCCUGGAUAUAGCAACGUUCACAGCUUCAACUGACACCAGCAAGUGCUCCAUCUAGAAUUCUUAAACCUAAACGAGUUGAUGUUGAUACUAUUUCAGUUUUAUUUGUGUAAUCAAUAUAAAUUGUUUACUCUUCUGACUUUUCUUUCUGAUGCCAUGUUACAAAUGCAGCUACACUCUAAGCACGUUAGAGAGAAAUUCAGACAAGAACCCUCAAAAGCAAGUUAGAGAGAAUCAGAAGAUGAACGGCUCAGGCUUCAUAGGCCUGAUUCGUAGAUAUAUAUGCUCAGGCUUCCGCUUCAUAAUAUCACUGAGAUAGUCAUUCAAGUGCUACCCCUGCAAAAAAAAAAUGGUAAUGAAGAACCCCCGCAAAAUCACAAACUGAUCUGUAAGACCUAAGGCGAACAACUUUCCUCCGAUCACAUUAACAUAAAGUGAUUUUUCACGGUCGAGGAGGUACAAUAAACCGUAAACGGGUGCAAAAUACUGGGAGGAGUUGUAGGAAGCAGCUACCUACAAUAGCUGUGAGCGCGAACAGAUUUAUUGGUUUGUUGGUCUUUGCAUCUCAAUAUAUCCAGGUAACAACAUGUAACAUAAAUAUGGAUUCAUUUUCUGCCAUUAACAAAGCUCCAUUAUCCUAAAAAAAGGAAACAUAGCGUUUUUUAAGCUCAUUGUUUCAUGUUCAUCAGUUGGGAAACAAAACUCAAUUAUUUCUUCCAAAUCCUGUUUAAAUAUUUUAUGGAUAAUUUCUUAGAACACAACUGUUUUAAUAUUCAGAGUCCUUAUCGUUUGCGUAGUGGUAGGUAACAUUUUAGUCGUGAUUUCUAGACUUAGAUUUUUUUAAAGAACCAUUAAUUGAGGGAUAAAAAUGGAAUUGGGGGAUAUAAGAAAAGGACAAAAACUGGUUCCAGAUAUCAAUUCGGGGUCACCCCUUAUCUAAGUAUUUUACGUAUU
This is a long non-coding RNA of Papaver somniferum (opium poppy), 4264 nucleotides long. RefSeq lists it as uncharacterized. The transcript is spliced from 9 exons. The record is from RefSeq and is a predicted model, not a curated record. NCBI's taxonomy places the organism in Eukaryota, Viridiplantae, Streptophyta, Magnoliopsida, Ranunculales, Papaveraceae.